Long non-coding RNA from Zingiber officinale, 711 nucleotides. RefSeq lists it as uncharacterized. NCBI's taxonomy places the organism in Eukaryota, Viridiplantae, Streptophyta, Magnoliopsida, Zingiberales, Zingiberaceae. The transcript has 4 exons. The record is from RefSeq and is a predicted model, not a curated record.
GCGCCGGCGGUUUCUUCCCCCUGUGUCCUCUGCCCUAGCCACCUCACGCCGCCACCAUAGCCGACAGUCGGCCGCCACUGAGCCCUGCCGAAGCCGCUGCCCUCACUGGACUUGAGCAGCGCUGUCGCCUCUUCCUAGCAUCGCCGUCGCCUCUGCCUAGCAUCGCCGUCGCCGUGCCCUAGGUGCCGAGCGCCACUGACCACCGUAGCACCGCCGCACCUUUUACUCUAGCGCCAGCCUUCUGCCCGUGAUGCUGACCCCCUCUGCCGCCGGUGACGAGCCACCUCUCCGACUUCCCUGUGCGCCGGCCGAAGUUUCCCUUCCUUGUGUCUCUGAUCUAGAGUGAUUGCGGCCUUGUUUCUGCCCUAUGCGACGCCGCCUCUGUACACUAUGCCUAGGUCGCCGGAAAUCAAGAGCUUAAGAAGGUGACAGGGGGUAGUUGUAACCCGGCCAGUGGAACUGAAGCACUUGGGUGUGGGAUGGCUAAUUUAGUGUAUAGGGUUUGGUGGACAGCGGCUUCACCAACUUCUGAUUCUCGCUGUCAUCAUCGAAGAAGAGCAACUUGAUCAGGGCAGUAGGUUGUUACGUCUGGCCAGUAGGUUUGAUUUGGGGCUGUUGGAACUUGUCGUGGCAAUCUUGCUUUGGUUGAGGGCAUCAAGGAAGAGCCACUCACCUUGUUCCAGCAGAAAACACAUUCCUUGAUUAUGGAUU